This 2570-nucleotide ribosomal RNA is filed under the name Actinomycetes bacterium. Its description in RNAcentral is "partial 23S ribosomal RNA". It matches the Rfam family "Bacterial large subunit ribosomal RNA", at positions 498 to 2925 of the family's 2925-position model. The record is from RNAcentral. Lineage: Bacteria; Bacillati; Actinomycetota; Actinomycetes.
GUACCGUGAGGGAAAGGUGAAAAGUACCCCGGGAGGGGAGUGAAAUAGUGCCUGAAACCGUGUGCCUACAAGCCGUUGGAGCCUGGAAGAUCUUCGGAUCAGGGUGACAGCGUGCCUUUUGAAGAAUGAGCCUGCGAGUUAUCGAUAUGUCGCGAGGUUAACCCGUGAGGGGUAGCCGUAGCGAAAGCGAGUCUGAAUAGGGCGACGCAGUGGCAUGUCAUAGACCCGAAGCGGAGUGAUCUACCCAUGGCCAGGUUGAAGCGAAGGUAAGACUUCGUGGAGGACCGAACCCACCUAGGUUGAAAACUGGGGGGAUGAGUUGUGGGUAGGGGUGAAAGGCCAAUCAAACUCCGUUAUAGCUGGUUCUCCCCGAAAUGCAUUUAGGUGCAGCGUCACGCGUUUCUUAUCGGAGGUAGAGCACUGGAUGAGCUAGGGGGCCCAAAAGCUUACUGAACCCAACCAAACUCCGAAUGCCGAUAAGUUAGAGCGUGGCAGUGAGACUGCGGGCGAUAAGGUUCGUAGUCGAGAGGGAAACAGCCCAGACCACCAACUAAGGCCCCCAAGCGUAUGCUAAGUGGGAAAGGAUGUGGAGUCGCAUAGACAACCAGGAGGUUGGCUUAGAAGCAGCCACCCUUGAAAGAGUGCGUAAUAGCUCACUGGUCAAGUGAUUCCGCGCCGACAAUGUAACGGGGCUCAAGCAUACCGCCGAAGUUGUGGCAUUUAUACCAAUAACCCGGCCGCAAGGUCCAGGUGUAUAGAUGGGUAGGGGAGCGUCGUGUGGCCAGCGAAGCGGCGGGGUAACCCAGCCGUGGAGGCCACACGAGUGAGAAUGCAGGCAUGAGUAGCGAAUGACGGGUGAGAAACCCGUCCGCCGGAUGAUCAAGGGUUCCAGGGCUAGGCUAAUCCGCCCUGGGUAAGUCUGGACCUAAGGCGAGGCCGACAGGCGUAGUCGAUGGACAACGGGUUGAUAUUCCCGUACCGGUGUUAACGCGCCCAUGACGAGCCUCAUAAUGCUAAGAGUAUGAAGCGAGGAUCUCCUUCGGGAGUGAAAACGUGGAGCACUCGAACCGAACUAGUAGUAGUCAAACGAUGGGGUGACGCAGGAAGGUAGCUUAACCGCGGCGAUGGUAGUCCGCGGCCAAGGUUGUAGGGCGAGAUAUAGGUAAAUCCGUAUCUCACAUAGCCUGAGAACUGAUGGGGAGCCGAUUGUGGCGAAGUAAGUGAUCCUAUGCUGCCGAGAAAAGCCUCUAGUGAGUGUUAACGCCGCCAGUACCCCAAACCAACACAGGUGAUCAGGUAGAGAAUACUAAGGCGAUCGAGUGAACUAUGGUUAAGGAACUCGGCAAAAUACCCCCGUAACUUCGGGAGAAGGGGGGCCAAAUCUGGUGUAGGGGCUUGCCCCCGAAGCUGGAAGUGGCCGCAGAGACCAGGCUGAAGCGACUGUUUACUAAAAACACAGGUCCAUGCAAAGUUGCAAAACGACGUAUAUGGACUGACUCCUGCCCGGUGCUGGAACGUUAAGGGGACCGGUUAGCUCUUCGGAGCGAAGCUGAGAACUUAAGCGCCAGUAAACGGCGGUGGUAACUAUAACCAUCCUAAGGUAGCGAAAUUCCUUGUCGGGUAAGUUCCGACCUGCACGAAUGGAGUAACGACUUCAGCGCUGUCUCAACCAUAGGCUCGGCGAAAUUGCACUACGAGUAAAGAUGCUCGUUACGCGUGGCAGGACGGAAAGACCCCGGGACCUUUACUAUAGCUUGGUAUUGGUGGUCGAUUCAAUUUGUGUAGGAUAGGUGGGAGACUUUGAAGCAUGGACGCUAGUUCGUGUGGAGUCAUCGUUGAAAUACCACUCUGAUUGUAUUGGCUGUCUAACCUCGAACCGUGAUCCGGUUUAGGGACAGUGCCUGGUGGGUAGUUUAACUGGGGCGGUUGCCUCCCAAAAAGUAACGGAGGCGCUCAAAGGUUCCCUCAGCCUGGUUGGUAAUCAGGUGUCGAGUGCAAGUGCACAAGGGAGCUUGACUGUGAGACUGACAAGUCGAGCAGGGACGAAAGUCGGAACUAGUGAUCCGGCGUCGGCAAGUGGAAGCGGCGUCGCUCAACGGAUAAAAGGUACCCCGGGGAUAACAGGCUGAUCUUGCCCAAGAGUCCAUAUCGACGGCAUGGUUUGGCACCUCGAUGUCGGCUCGUCGCAUCCUGGGGCUGGAGUCGGUCCCAAGGGUUGGGCUGUUCGCCCAUUAAAGCGGCACGCGAGCUGGGUUUAGAACGUCGUGAGACAGUUCGGUCCCUAUCCGCCACGCGCGUAAGAGUCUUGAGGAGAUCUGUCCCUAGUACGAGAGGACCGGGACGGACGAACCUCUGGUGUGCCAGUUGUCCUGCCAAGGGCACGGCUGGUUAGCUACGUUCGGAAGGGAUAACCGCUGAAAGCAUCUAAGCGGGAAGCCCACUCCAAGAUAAGGGCUCUCACUGGUUUACCAGGUAAGGACCCCAGCUAGACGACUGGGUUGAUAGGCCGGAUGUGGAAGCACAGCAAUGUGUGGAGCUGACCGGUACUAAUAGUCCGAGGACUUGCUUAC